GCCACUUUAGCUCAGCUGGUAGAGCAACUGAUUUGUAAUCAGUAGGUCACUGGUUCGAUCCCGGUAAGUGGCUCCA
Molecule: transfer RNA, 76 nt
Filed under: Allomuricauda sp.
Lineage: Bacteria; Pseudomonadati; Bacteroidota; Flavobacteriia; Flavobacteriales; Flavobacteriaceae
Description: tRNA-Thr
Rfam family: tRNA
About the family: Transfer RNA (tRNA) molecules are approximately 80 nucleotides in length. Their secondary structure includes four short double-helical elements and three loops (D, anti-codon, and T loops).
Source: RNAcentral